Molecule: long non-coding RNA, 735 nt
Organism: Gavialis gangeticus (Gharial)
Lineage: Eukaryota; Metazoa; Chordata; Crocodylia; Gavialidae
Exons: 2
Source: RefSeq, a predicted model, not a curated record
CCGAGCUGCGGCCCUUCCCGGGGGCGGGGACAGAGCCGGGGCCGCACCUCCCAGCGCCAGGCAGAGGCAGCGCGGCCCCCGCUUCGUAACUCGGGAGCUGCCUGCUGCAGAAGUAGCGUCUGAGGCGGUUAGAGAGAAGUGGUGGUAAUAAAGGGAAAAGUUCUUCCAGCAGAUGUGGUUGGUGGAUCUCUGAAAAUUAAGACAAAUAUGCACUCGAGGAACUCUGCACGUAUAUCAAAAUCCACUGGUAUCCAGAUAUAAUUUUUUUUAAGUACAAUUCCUCCUAUACCGACCAUUGCAGAUCCUCAAAAGACUUGUCGUGCUACUCAGAGGAAGUGUUGUGUUGCCAACAGAUCUGUCUCAGACAUAAAAGAGGAAAUUUUAAAAUGGACGUUAUAUUAUUCUAGUCCAGAAAUGGGGAGAUUACCAUAUGUAGAAGUAUAUCAUUAUAUAAGAAGAAAAACUCUCUCUUUAGUUUUUCAACUGAAUCAGAGUUAUAAAUGGAAAAUCUAGUAUUCAGGGACAUCACAUAGAUUUGUGACACUCCUUACAGGACUUUAAUUCUAUUAUCCAGUGAACAGUUCACUUCCGUGCACCUGUGUAUUUUUCAUCUAUGUCAGAUAAAAUAUGGACAUUUUAUUUUUGUAGUCUUGUCUUAACUGUGGUAAAAUUCUCCAUCCUUCUGUGGGAUCAAAUACAUCAGCUUUGCUUAUAAUAAACUCUGUACUAUGUUAA